UACGUAGGGGGCAAGCGUUGUCCGGAAUCAUUGGGCGUAAAGCGCGUGUAGGCGGCUUGGUAAGUCCGCUCUGAAAGCCCGGGGCUCAACCCCGGGAGGCGGGUGGAUACUGUCAAGCUCGAGUCCGGAAGAGGCGAGUGGAAUUCCUGGUGUAGCGGUGAAAUGCGCAGAUAUCGAGAGGAACACCUGCGGCGAAGGCGGGUUGCUGGGCUGACACUGACGCUGAUGUGCGAAAGCUAGGGGAGCGAACGGG
This 253-nucleotide ribosomal RNA is filed under the name uncultured bacterium. RNAcentral describes it as "partial 16S ribosomal RNA". It matches the Rfam family "Bacterial small subunit ribosomal RNA", at positions 524 to 776 of the family's 1533-position model. The record is from RNAcentral.